Molecule: ribosomal RNA, 476 nt
Filed under: uncultured bacterium
Lineage: Bacteria
Description: bacterial SSU rRNA
Rfam family: Bacterial small subunit ribosomal RNA
Source: RNAcentral
GAUGAACGCUGGCGGCGUGCCUCAAACAUGCAAGUCGAGCGGGGCUAUGUAAUAUCGCAAGGUAGAACAUAGCCUAGCGGCGAACGGGUGAGUAACACGUGGGUAACCUGCCUGGAAGACAGGGAUAACGAUUCGAAAGGGUCGCUAAUACCUGAUAAUAUCCUUUCAUCGCAUGGUGAUAGGAAGAAAGGGGAAACCCGCUUUCAGAUGGGCCCGCGUCCCAUCAGCUAGUUGGUAAGGUAAAGGCUUACCAAGGCGACGACGGGUAGCCGGUCUGAGAGGAUGUACGGCCACACUGGGACUGAGAUACGGCCCAGGACUCCUACGGGAGGCAGGCAGUUGGGAAUCUUAGGCAAUGGACGAAAGUCUGACCUAGCGACGCCGCGUGAGGGAAGAAGGCCUUCGGGUUGUAAACCUCUGUCAUGGGGAAGAAGUAAGUGACGGUACCCCAAGAGGAAGCCCCUGCUAACUACGUG